Molecule: ribosomal RNA, 1408 nt
Filed under: Lactiplantibacillus plantarum
Lineage: Bacteria; Bacillati; Bacillota; Bacilli; Lactobacillales; Lactobacillaceae
Also listed under: 1 other name
Description: bacterial SSU rRNA
Rfam family: Bacterial small subunit ribosomal RNA
Source: RNAcentral
CAGUCGAACGAACUCUGGUAUUGAUUGGUGCUUGCAUCAUGAUUUACAUUUGAGUGAGUGGCGAACUGGUGAGUAACACGUGGGAAACCUGCCCAGAAGCGGGGGAUAACACCUGGAAACAGAUGCUAAUACCGCAUAACAACUUGGACCGCAUGGUCCGAGUUUGAAAGAUGGCUUCGGCUAUCACUUUUGGAUGGUCCCGCGGCGUAUUAGCUAGAUGGUGGGGUAACGGCUCACCAUGGCAAUGAUACGUAGCCGACCUGAGAGGGUAAUCGGCCACAUUGGGACUGAGACACGGCCCAAACUCCUACGGGAGGCAGCAGUAGGGAAUCUUCCACAAUGGACGAAAGUCUGAUGGAGCAACGCCGCGUGAGUGAAGAAGGGUUUCGGCUCGUAAAACUCUGUUGUUAAAGAAGAACAUAUCUGAGAGUAACUGUUCAGGUAUUGACGGUAUUUAACCAGAAAGCCACGGCUAACUACGUGCCAGCAGCCGCGGUAAUACGUAGGUGGCAAGCGUUGUCCGGAUUUAUUGGGCGUAAAGCGAGCGCAGGCGGUUUUUUAAGUCUGAUGUGAAAGCCUUCGGCUCAACCGAAGAAGUGCAUCGGAAACUGGGAAACUUGAGUGCAGAAGAGGACAGUGGAACUCCAUGUGUAGCGGUGAAAUGCGUAGAUAUAUGGAAGAACACCAGUGGCGAAGGCGGCUGUCUGGUCUGUAACUGACGCUGAGGCUCGAAAGUAUGGGUAGCAAACAGGAUUAGAUACCCUGGUAGUCCAUACCGUAAACGAUGAAUGCUAAGUGUUGGAGGGUUUCCGCCCUUCAGUGCUGCAGCUAACGCAUUAAGCAUUCCGCCUGGGGAGUACGGCCGCAAGGCUGAAACUCAAAGGAAUUGACGGGGGCCCGCACAAGCGGUGGAGCAUGUGGUUUAAUUCGAAGCUACGCGAAGAACCUUACCAGGUCUUGACAUACUAUGCAAAUCUAAGAGAUUAGACGUUCCCUUCGGGGACAUGGAUACAGGUGGUGCAUGGUUGUCGUCAGCUCGUGUCGUGAGAUGUUGGGUUAAGUCCCGCAACGAGCGCAACCCUUAUUAUCAGUUGCCAGCAUUAAGUUGGGCACUCUGGUGAGACUGCCGGUGACAAACCGGAGGAAGGUGGGGAUGACGUCAAAUCAUCAUGCCCCUUAUGACCUGGGCUACACACGUGCUACAAUGGAUGGUACAACGAGUUGCGAACUCGCGAGAGUAAGCUAAUCUCUUAAAGCCAUUCUCAGUUCGGAUUGUAGGCUGCAACUCGCCUACAUGAAGUCGGAAUCGCUAGUAAUCGCGGAUCAGCAUGCCGCGGUGAAUACGUUCCCGGGCCUUGUACACACCGCCCGUCACACCAUGAGAGUUUGUAACACCCAAAGUCGGUGG